RNAcentral lists this ribosomal RNA (297 nucleotides) under uncultured bacterium. Its description in RNAcentral is "partial 16S ribosomal RNA". It matches the Rfam family "Bacterial small subunit ribosomal RNA", at positions 775 to 1067 of the family's 1533-position model. The record is from RNAcentral.
GGAUUAGAUACCCUGGUAGUCCACGCCCUAAACGAUGUAUGCUUGAUGUUGGGUCCAUUAGGAUUCAGUGUCGGAGGAAACCCGUUAAGCAUACCACCUGGGAAGUACGAUCGCAAGGUUGAAACUCAAAGGAAUUGACGGGGGCCCGCACAAGCGGUGGAUCAUGUGGUUUAAUUCGAUGCAACGCGAAGAACCUUACCCGGGCUCGAAAUGUAGGUAGUACAACCCCGAAAAGGGAAGGAUAGGUUCAGUCCUAAGCCUACAUAGGUGCUGCAUGGCUGUCGUCAGCUCGUGCCG